Molecule: ribosomal RNA, 253 nt
Filed under: uncultured bacterium
Lineage: Bacteria
Description: partial 16S ribosomal RNA
Rfam family: Bacterial small subunit ribosomal RNA
Source: RNAcentral
UACGGGGGGGGCAAGCGUUGUUCGGAAUUACUGGGCGUAAAGGGCUCGUAGGCGGCCAACUAAGUCAGACGUGAAAUCCCUCGGCUUAACCGGGGAACUGCAUCUGAUACUGGAUGGCUUGAGUUCGGGAGAGGGAUGCGGAAUUCCCAGUGUAGCGGUGAAAUGCGUAGAUAUUGGUAGGAACACCAGUGGCGAAGGCGGCUACCUGGACCGGUUCUGACGCUGAGGCGCGAAAGCGUGGGUAGCAAACAGG